UACGUAGGGGGCAAGCGUUGUCCGGAAUCAUUGGGCGUAAAGCGCGUGUAGGCGGUUCGAUAAGUCUGCUGUGAAAGUCCAGGCUCAACCCUGGGAUGCCGGUGGAUACUGUCGGGCUCGAGUCCGGAAGAGGAGUGUGGAAUUCCUGGUGUAGCGGUGAAAUGCGCAGAUAUCAGGAGGAACACCAAUGGCGAAGGCAGCACUCUGGGACGUGACUGACGCUGAGACGCGAAAGCGUGGGGAGCAAACAGG
This 252-nucleotide ribosomal RNA is filed under the name uncultured bacterium. RNAcentral describes it as "partial 16S ribosomal RNA". It matches the Rfam family "Bacterial small subunit ribosomal RNA", at positions 524 to 776 of the family's 1533-position model. The record is from RNAcentral.